RNAcentral lists this ribosomal RNA (425 nucleotides) under uncultured bacterium. Its description in RNAcentral is "partial 16S ribosomal RNA". It matches the Rfam family "Bacterial small subunit ribosomal RNA", at positions 354 to 796 of the family's 1533-position model. The record is from RNAcentral.
GUGGGGAAUCUUGCGCAAUGGGCGAAAGCCUGACGCAGCCAUGCCGCGUGAAUGAUGAAGGUCUUGGGAUUGUAAAAUUCUUUCACCGGGGACGAUAAUGACGGUACCCGGAGAAGAAGCCCCGGCUAACUUCGUGCCAGCAGCCGCGGUAAUACGAAGGGGGCUAGCGUUGCUCGGAAUUACUGGGCGUAAAGGGCGCGUAGGCGGACAGUUUAGUCAGAGGUGAAAGCCCAGGGCUCAACCUUGGAAUUGCCUUUGAUACUGGCUGUCUUGAGUACGUGAGAGGUGAGUGGAACUCCGAGUGUAGAGGUGAAAUUCGUAGAUAUUCGGAAGAACACCAGUGGCGAAGGCGACUCACUGGCCCGUUACUGACGCUGAGGCGCGAAAGCGUGGGGAGCAAACAGGAUUAGAUACCCCUGUAGUCC